This 405-nucleotide ribosomal RNA is filed under the name uncultured bacterium. RNAcentral's name for it is "partial 16S ribosomal RNA". It matches the Rfam family "Bacterial small subunit ribosomal RNA", at positions 29 to 526 of the family's 1533-position model. The record is from RNAcentral.
AUUGAACGCUGGCGGCAGGCUUAACACAUGCAAGUCGAACGAGUGGCGGACGGGUGAGUAAUGCUUGGGAAUCUGGCUUAUGGAGGGGGAUAACGACGGGAAACUGUCGCUAAUACCGCGUACCAUAGGAUGAGCCCAAGUGGGAUUAGGUAGUUGGUGGGGUAAUGGCCUACCAAGCCGACGAUCUCUAGCUGGUCUGAGAGGAUGACCAGCCACACCGGGACUGAGAGACGGCCCGGACUCCUACGGGAGGCAGCAGUGGGGAAUAUUGCGCAAGGGGGGGAACCUGACGCAGCGACGCCGCGUGCGGGAAGGAGGCCUUCGGGUCGUAAACCGCUUUCAGCAGGGAAGCGGUACCUGCAGAAGAAGCCCCGGCUAACUACGUGCCAGCAGCCGCGGUAAUUC